ACGAACGCUGGCGGCGUGCUUAACACAUGCCAGUCGAGCGGUAAGGCCUUUCGGGGUACACGAGCGGCGAACGGGUGAGUAACACGUGGGUGAUCUGCCCUGCACUUCGGGAUAAGCCUGGGAAACUGGGUCUAAUACCGGAUAUGACCUCCUAUCGCAUGGUGGGUGGUGGAAAGAUUUAUCGGUGCAGGAUGGGCCCGCGGCCUAUCAGCUUGUUGGUGGGGUAAUGGCCUACCAAGGCGACGACGGGUAGCCGACCUGAGAGGGUGACCGGCCACACUGGGACUGAGACACGGCCCAGACUCCUACGGGAGGCAGCAGUGGGGAAUAUUGCACAAUGGGCGAAAGCCUGAUGCAGCGACGCCGCGUGAGGGAUGACGGCCUUCGGGUUGUAAACCUCUUUCAGCAGGGACGAAGCGCAAGUGACGGUACCUGCAGAAGAAGCACCGGCUAACUACGUG
RNAcentral lists this ribosomal RNA (461 nucleotides) under uncultured bacterium. Its description in RNAcentral is "partial 16S ribosomal RNA". It matches the Rfam family "Bacterial small subunit ribosomal RNA", at positions 29 to 507 of the family's 1533-position model. The record is from RNAcentral.